This is a non-coding RNA of Biomphalaria pfeifferi, 316 nucleotides long. Lineage: Eukaryota; Metazoa; Mollusca; Gastropoda; Planorbidae. The record is from the annotation of a GenBank genome assembly.
UUUCAAUGUGUUCAAUGAUUUAUUUCAUGUCAAGACUCAAGUUACUGGUUAUGUUCAGUUUCACAAGUCAAAUCGAAUGAACAGUCAUAGCACACGAGAACGCCAUGGGGGGAAGUAAAAAAAUAAUGCAGACGAUCAUUGUUAAUAGUCACGUGACUAACGCUUUUGAACAAAAAAAAAUAGCACCCACUUGUAAGACAAAAGACAUUGUUUCAUUUCAAUGGGCACACGUUUUGAUUUCGUCAUCAACACUUAACAAUUUUACACAAGUGGACAUUUAGUCUAGUAGUCUCUGGGGGGGGGGGGGGGGGGGGGG